CCACACAGCUGAUGGAGCUCACUGCCUUGCACAUGUUGUAAAACACCUCCUGGUUACAAGGGUCAGCUGUGGAGACACAGCUUGAUGGGAGGGACUGGGUCACGAGACACCCCUGGCAAGGACCAGCUGGCAGAACAGGCUGGACACUCUCCUUCAGCCUCCCCAGCAGCCCUACCUGUGCUGUCAUCUGUGCUGAUGAUCUCCGUGACCCAGAACAAGUGGCAUCCCAGGAGCCUGGGAGGGGCUGGCAGAGACUUACUGGUUCCAGCAAAAGCCCAUGUGGAUGCAGCAAUGCUGCCUGCUGGUCCUUGGCUGUAAUUACAAACAGGUACUUGAGGUCCCCAUGCAUCUUGCAGCUCUCAGAGAGUGUGUUCCAGCUGCUCAUGGUAGGCACUUUUAGUCACUGAACGUGCUUCAGGAAUGGCCAAGCUUGAUUAAGCCAGGCGUCUUGCUGUGAGACCCUCCA
This 466-nucleotide long non-coding RNA is filed under the name Homo sapiens (human). RNAcentral describes it as "HSALNT0402537". Lineage: Eukaryota; Metazoa; Chordata; Mammalia; Primates; Hominidae. The record is from RNAcentral.